Molecule: small nucleolar RNA, 138 nt
Organism: Nannospalax galili (Upper Galilee mountains blind mole rat)
Lineage: Eukaryota; Metazoa; Chordata; Mammalia; Rodentia; Spalacidae
Source: Ensembl
UUCCACAGCUACUGGUCUGCAGCUGAUUUCAUGAUAGCAGUUGUAGCAUUCCUCUGUGGGAAAGAAAUGACUGUACAGUUCAAUACCUCUUUCUUAGCCAAGCAGAAUGCAGUCAUAGCAUAUGUGUGACAGACACAA